AGAGUUUGACACUGGCUCAGAACGAACGCUGGCGGCGUGGUUUAGGCAUGCAAGUCGAGCGAGAAAGUCUCCUUCGGGGGGCGAGUAAAGCGGCGAAAGGGUGAGUAAUAUAUAGGUAACCUACCUCUCGAACUGGGAUAAUUCCUGGAAACGGGUUGUAAAACCAGAUGGUCCCUCUCGGGUCCAUGUCCCCGAUUGGUAAACGGUAGCUCUGCUUCUGUCGAGGGAGGGGCCUAUGUCCUAUUAGCUUGUUGGUGAGGUAACGGCUCACCAAGGCAUUGAUGGGUAGCCGGACUGAGAGGUUGGCCGGUCACACCGGGACUGAGACACUGCCCGGACUCCUACGGGAGGCUGCAGUCGAGAAUCUUCCGCAAUGGGCGAAAGCCUGACGGGGCGACGCCGCGUGGACGAAGAAGGCCCUUGGGUUGUAAAGUUCUGUCAGAAGGGAGAAUGGGCAGGGGUUAAUAGCCUUCUAGUUUGACGUUAUCUUCAGAGGAAGCCCUGGCUAACUCCGUGCCAGCAGCCGCGGUAAUACGGAGAGGGCAAGCGUUAUUCGGAAUUACUGGGCAUAAAGGGCACGUAGGCGGACCAUUAAGUCAGUUGUGAAAUCCCAGAGCUCAACUCUGGAACGGCUUCCGAAACUUGUGGUCUGGAGGGCGAGAGGGGGGAGUGGAACUUCUGGUGGAGCGGUGAAAUGCGUAGAGAUCAGAAGGAACACCGGUGGCGAAAGCGACUCCCUGGCUCGUUUCUGACGCUCAGGUGCGAAAGCUAGGGUAGCGAACGGGAUUAGAUACCCCGGUAGUCCUAGCCGUAAACGAUGGGCACUAGGUAGGGGAGGUUCUGACACCUUCUCUGCUGGAGCUAAUGUAUUAAGUGCCCCGCCUGGGGAGUAUGGUCGCAAGGCUAAAACUCAAAGGAAUUGACGGGGGCUCACACAAGCGGUGGAGCAUGUGGUUUAAUUCGAAGCAACGCGCAGAACCUUACCUGGGUUUGACCGCUAGUUGUAGGCUCCUGAAAAGGAGCCGAACUGCGUAAGCAGAAGGCUAGUACAGGUGCUGCAUGGCUGUCGUCAGCUCGUGUCGUGAGAUGUCGGGUUAAGUCCCUUAACGAGCGAAACCCCUACUGUCUAGUUGCCAACGGGUUAUGCCGGGUACUCUAGCGGGACUGCCGUGGUUAACACGGAGGAAGGCGGGGAUGACGUCAAGUCCUCAUGGCCCUUAUACCCAGGGCUACACACGUGCUACAAUGGCCGGUACAAAGGGCAGCAAAGCGGUAACGUGGAGCAAAUCCCAUAAAGCCGGUCCCAGUACGGAUCGAGGGCUGCAAUUUGCCCUCGUGAAGUUGGAAUCGCUAGUAAUCGCGGAUCAGCAAUGCCGCGGUGAAUAUGUUCCUGAGCCUUGUACACACCGCCCGUCAAGCCACGGGAGCUGGUAGUGCCCGAAGUCGCUGACCCAACUCUUCGGAGAGGGAGGCGCCGACGGUAAGACCGGUGACUGGGACUAAGUCGUAACAAGGUAACC
Molecule: ribosomal RNA, 1520 nt
Filed under: uncultured prokaryote
Description: partial 16S ribosomal RNA
Rfam family: Bacterial small subunit ribosomal RNA
Source: RNAcentral